Molecule: small nucleolar RNA, 135 nt
Organism: Phyllostomus hastatus (greater spear-nosed bat)
Lineage: Eukaryota; Metazoa; Chordata; Mammalia; Chiroptera; Phyllostomidae
Product: U8 small nucleolar RNA
Exons: 1
Source: RefSeq, a predicted model, not a curated record
CCGUCAGGCAGGGCGGUCCUCACCGGCCGCCCCGUCUGGAGAGCAGGCCAGAGCAGGAUGAGUGGCGUUCUCGCGAUUCCUGUCCAACGUCUCUGCGGAAUCAGAACAUGCACGCCCUGACUGCUCCUACCAAAA